CCCUCCGUAGGGUGAACCUGCGGAGGGWUYAUUACCGAGYKAGUACAACUCAUCAACCCUGUGAACAUACCUAAACGUUGCCUCGGCGGGAACAGACGGCCCCGUGAAAACGGGCCGCCCCCGCCAGAGGACCCCCUAACUCUGUUUCUAUAAUGUUUCUUCUGAGUAAAACAAGCAAAUAAAUUAAAACUUUCAACAACGGAUCUCUUGGCUCUGGCAUCGAUGAAGAACGCAGCGAAAUGCGAUAAGUAAUGUGAAUUGCAGAAUUCAGUGAAUCAUCGAAUCUUUGAACGCACAUUGCGCCCGCCAGUAUUCUGGCGGGCAUGCCUGUUCGAGCGUCAUUACAACCCUCAGGCCCCCGGGCCUGGCGUUGGGGAUCGGCGGAGGCCCUCCGUGGGCACACGCCGUCCCCCAAAUACAGUGGCGGUCCCGCCGCAGCUUCCAUCGCGUAGUAGCUAACACCUCGCGACUGGAGAGCGGCGCGGCCACGCCGUAAAACCCCCAACUCUUCUGAAGUUGACCUCGAAUCAGGUAGGAAKACCCGUUCUKWWCUUAAGCAUAUCAAUAAGUGGGAGGAA
RNAcentral lists this ribosomal RNA (578 nucleotides) under Fusarium solani. Its description in RNAcentral is "eukaryotic LSU rRNA". The stretch from base 188 to 341 matches the Rfam family "5.8S ribosomal RNA". The record is from RNAcentral. Lineage: Eukaryota; Fungi; Ascomycota; Sordariomycetes; Hypocreales; Nectriaceae.